GUGAACCUGCGGAAGGAUCA
RNAcentral lists this non-coding RNA (20 nucleotides) under Mus musculus (house mouse). The record is from RNAcentral. RNAcentral also lists the same sequence under 4 other names. Lineage: Eukaryota; Metazoa; Chordata; Mammalia; Rodentia; Muridae.